CAGUAUCUAGCUAAAGGUAAAAAUUUUAAGAUGUUAUAUGAAAAGGAAGUCUUGUCAGUCUAAAAUGAUAUUCAGAAAGAAUUUGCUAAUCAAAAGCUAGUUAUAUAGUUUUGGUAAAUAUGGCUUGGCUUUUUUUUCUUUUUUUCUUUUUUUUUUUUACAGGUCAUGUGAGUGGCUCAGCAAUGUGUGACACUACAAAAACUGUGAGCAUGGUUUCUUAAAACACCAGUGCUUGUGCCAAGUAACGUUCAGAUGCUAUUUGCAGCAAAAUAGUUGGAACAUUCCAAAAAAACCCACCAACAUUGAAAAAUGACUUUCAUUCGGAUAUGAAAUGAAAAUGCACAGAAGAUGACCUGCAGGGGAGAAGGGAGAGAUACAGCUUGCAGCCAGAGACCUGAAACCUGCUGUAAUUAACUUGAUCAUCACUAGCAGGGCAUGCCAAGAUGAAACAAAUAUUAGGGAAAACUUGGUACACAUUAAUGUAGUUUAGAGCUAAACAGUGUGUACCAUGUCACAUUACACUUCUUUAUGGUCAGUAGAGAGAGGUAGGUACUUUGAAUAUAUAACUCAUCUAGUCUAUUUUAGAGAGGAGAUGCAUCCAUAAAUACCCAAUUGUGCAGAGCAUGAUCUGACAGGUAAGAUGUAUUU
RNAcentral lists this long non-coding RNA (648 nucleotides) under Junco hyemalis (dark-eyed junco). Its description in RNAcentral is "lncRNA (ENSJHYG00000016153.1)". Lineage: Eukaryota; Metazoa; Chordata; Aves; Passeriformes; Passerellidae. The record is from RNAcentral.